This 1746-nucleotide long non-coding RNA is filed under the name Macaca fascicularis (crab-eating macaque). RNAcentral's name for it is "lncRNA (ENSMFAG00000054600.1)". The record is from RNAcentral. Lineage: Eukaryota; Metazoa; Chordata; Mammalia; Primates; Cercopithecidae.
GGCCCUGAGCCAGGUCCCUGGAAGGAUGGUGACCUGGGGCAUCUGCUGUGCCCUGGGCCAGCUGGCAUGGGCAUGGAGCGUGCUGCAUCACCCUCUGAGGAGGAGGUCGGCUCCCACAGGGCCUGGGACAUCUGUGGGCGCCUCGUCAGGCGAGUUUGGGUCUCUUUCGCAGAAGAAAACUGGCAGCGACUGCCUGCGGCAUGGGCAGUCCCACCGAUGUAAAGAACACAGCCACAGGCCGGGACGAUACAUCAAGCUCACGCCCACGGCCCUCACAUGUCCACGAAGACCAUGAAGCACCAGCCCAGGCCCCCGACUAGCAGCAUGGUGACAUGGAUGCCGUAGAUGAGCAGCUCGUUCACCAGGCGGAAGUCCACGCGCCGGCGGCCCAGCAACAGCAGCAACACCGAGAGUUUGCGCUGGAAGCGCAGCAGGACGCGAACGCCCAGGUACUGUAGGCAGAAGAGGGCGGCCAGAGCACCCCAGAGCGCCGCGGUGAACAGGCUGCAGCUGAAGUAGAGCAGGAAGCGGAUGAAGCCGUACAGCCAGCGCGUCUUGAUGUACACGUCGAAAUUGUUGUACUUGGUACGGGCCAGGUGGGAGGCGCGCACGGGCCCGCGAGGCUGCAUGCAGGCAGGUGGUGUGCGGGCCGUGGAAGGAGCGCACCGCCUCGGGAUGGGCAUGACCGGCAUUGGGCCCUGGUGGCGGCGCUAGCUUCCGGUGGUGGCGGCGUCCAGGCAGCGGUCAGCGAUAGGGGUCAUGGCUCCUAGGCCUGGGAGCCGGCCACUGAGCCUCGCGGGAGGCGUCGGCCUGCGGGGAGAGCCGCAAAACCCAUGUCAGUGUGAGGACACUGUGUGGAUCCUUCCCCAGGCAAUCAGCUGGCGAAGGCGGACACAAACUCCAGCGCCCGGACUACGGGAAAAGGGAGUCCAGGGCAGGAUCUGCGGGCACUCCCAGGCUUACUCUUUUCACAAACCCUCCCAAGGAUACUUCCAGGGGGCCCACCACCUGGGGAAGCCAAAGUGCUUGUUCUAGGGCAGCACUGGGGAAGGGGGGCCUUCGGGGCAGCCGCCAGGGGAGGCCCCCGGAGGUGGUCAAUGCCAAAACGGAUGGGAAGGGGCAAGAGUGGCUCUUUCCUGCAGGAUCCCCGCAGCCCCCCACAAGCUGGACCACUCUCUGCUCUUAGGCAGUUUGCCUGUUACUGCCCUGGUCUUCUGUGGCUGCCUGAACCAGGACUGACACAAGCCCUAAAAUGGUGCCUGCAAAAAGCCACCACAGGGCCGGGAGAAGGGACUCACAGGUGAACCGAGAACAAGCCCGGUGGGGGCAGGUGACUCCAGCAACCUGACAAGUGCUAGGGGCCAGAUGGACGGCUGGGGGGCCCUGGGGUCACCUUGCUGGGCCUGAACCCUGGCACUGUCCUUCCCUAGCAGUGACCUUGGGCAGGUCACCUGACCCCAAGACGGCUCCUGCUCUGUCCAAUGGGGGUGCCAGUAGCACUGCUCUUGCGAGUAGCUGUGGGAGGUAAGAGGCUGGGCCUGGCGUGCACAGUGGAGGCACAGCGCCCAGGUCCCCGUGUGGGGUCGGCCCGGGGUCUGGCAGCGGCCCUACAGACUGGGCUGCAAAGAGUAGACGCGGCAUUUGGCUCUCUAGCUUCACCUAGUAAAUGCCGUUUAUAGCUUGCCUAAAUAAUCUGCAGACGGAAUGAACUCAAAGGUCAGGAAAUAAAAUCGGAGUAGGAAAGUU